AGUUUAGUAGAUUUAUUGGACAGAAGCAGAGGUAACAGUGACAACAGGUGAGUAGAUUGUGGUUGUAGAGGUGAAGGAUGAAUGAAUGGGUGAUAAUACUGUCCUUUUGUGGUUUGCAGGUUGAUGGCGGUGGCAGACUGGAGACAAUGCUGGUGGAUGACACUCACACAGACUUGGAGCACACGAGGUAGCACGGAGACACAGGAGACAGGUAAGUAGCAAUAGGAGUCCUUGAGGUAAGCAUAGAGGUAAGUUCCUUGAUGCGAACGAGACCGGACAAUGUGACUGAGUGUGUGAGUGUCUUAAAUAGUGUUCGUGAUGAGUGUGCUGAUGAGAUGCAGGUGGCAGUGAUUAGUACUCAGGGGAAGGUGUGUGUUGUGAUUGGUGGGUGCUGGAGCCUGGCGUGUCUGUGACAGUACCCCCCCCUCCACGGCCCACUCCUGAGGGCCGAGGACCCCGACGUCGUGGUGGUCUUCCUCUUCCAUGAGGGGCAGGUCUGUUGGGAUGAGCAGCGUGGAAGGUGUCUAGCAGGUUGGGAUCGAGAAUGUCAUUACGGGGAAUCCAGGAACGUUCCUCAGGACCGUAACCCUCCCAGUCCACGAGAUACUCAUGUCGUGGAUUAAGUCUCUCUUUCUGAUUGUGAAGUUCCUGCUUAUCUGAGCUGUAGAUCCUAAACUGAGAGAUUGAAGAGUGUCAUUGUUCUCUACAGGUUGUGGGAUUGUGGUGUCACAGAUGAAGGUUGUGCUGCUCUGGCUUCAGCUCUGUAAUCAAACUCCUCACACCUGAGACAUCUGGAUCUGUCAGGAAAUACACUAAGAGACUCAGGAGUGAAUCUCCUCUCUGAUGGACUAAAGGAUCCUCACUGUAAACUUGAGAUACUGUGGUUGUGGGAUUGUGGUGUCACAGAUGAAGGUUGUGCUGCUCUGGCUUCAGCUCUGAGAUCAAUCCCCUCACACCUGAGAGAACUGAAUCUGUCUGGAAAUACACUCUCAGAUGUGAAUCUGCUCUCUGAUCUGAAGGAUGAUCCACAUUAUAAACUGGAGAUGCUUCGGUUUUAGAUGUUAGUCUGACCUUCUCUGGAUCAGCUGAUGGUGAAUAAAGAGCCACUACAGACACAUCACACUCCAUAUUCUCCAGAUCAAUAUAUUUCAGUUGUUUCAGAUAUUUCCCCCCUUUCAAGACAUACUACUGAUCCAUGUUUCAAUCCAAAGUAGCGUUUGAUGAUAAUCAACAAACUGCUGUUUACUGCAGGUCAUUUCUGGAUGUCUGUAAACCAUCGCUGUUGUUGUUUGUCUCCAGUGACAGAAGCUUCUGUAUGUAGUUUUGAGGCAAGACGUUCUGUUGAACCCCUAAACACACAACCUAGAUGGAGAAAUGAGACAAGAUAAACACAUUUAAUUUAAUAAGAGAGACAUGAGAAUGUUACUAGAAACUCACAAAUGUUUAUGGUCUAUAAUCUUGUACGUAAUAUUGUUGUAACACACAUAUUGAAAACAUCUUCAUCUCCAGUUAAAUUAAACUUUUAAACACUUGUGCUCUUUAAUUAAAUAUUAUGCUUUAGUUUGGACAGUCCAGCUUAUGAUGGGCAGUAAAAUGUACCUUUUUAUACAGUGAUGAAGGUGGAAAGGGUCUGAAAUUGUUUAUCUUGUACUUUUGAUCAGAAUGUGACAUCUCACUGAUUUCCUUUUUUAUACGUUUCUUAUAUCAUGUAGCUUUAAAAUUUUGUUAGUUAUUUUUGUUUGUUAUUCCCUUUGUUUGUUUUUUUAUUUUUCCCUAGACUUAUGUUUGUUAUUUGUGGUUAUUGUUAUAUUUGUAAAAAAAAAAAAAAAAAAAAAAAAAUCUGCAUUGAUUGAACGGUGGUGUGUGAUCCCUCUUUUAUGUUGCGGCUUGAAAUAAGCUGGCCUUAACAGUCAUUAAAUUCAUCUUAAUUACUGUUUUAUUACUGUUUUAUUACUUGAAAUAAGCUGGCCUUAACAGUCAUUAAAUUCAUCUUAAUUACUGUUUUAUUACUGUUUUAUUACUUGAAAUAAGCUGGCCGUAACAGUCAUUAAAUUCAUCUUAAUUACUGUUUUAUUACUGUUUUAUUACUUGAAAUAAGCUGGCCGUAACAGUCAUUAAAUUCAUCUUAAUUACUGUUUUAUUACUGUUAUUUAUGUAAUUGAGUUAAUUUUGAUGACAGUGGUGGCAAAUACCAAUUCUCCACAGUUUUAUUGUAGUAACACUCACUGCUGACCUGGUACCAUGCUAAAUUUAAGGGAGAUCAGGGGCCGUAUUCACAAAACUUUUUAUCUUACCACUAAGAGUUCUCCUAAAUAGGAGUAAAAGUUCUUAGCUAAGAGUUUUCUCUUAAAACCUAUUCACAAAGCUGCUGAGACCAACUUUUACUAAGGAAUAGACUGAAGUCUUAAGCUAAGAGUAAGGGCGGGGUUGAACUUGUUGCUAUGGAGUAUGCACACAGUGAUUGGCUGAUGGGGGAGGAGUCAGUGAUUUAAUCAUAGAAAUAUUGUAGAAUGAGGUAUCAUGUUUCCAUAUUCAAAUAAAGGUUUUAAAAUGUAGGCUAAGUGUCACUAAUUAAACUAGUAUAUCCAGUUAAUUGUCCGCCUCUUGGAUGUCUGCAUCUCAAGAGAAUGCAGAAUUCAAGCGACAAAUUAUGUUUUAU
Long non-coding RNA from Ctenopharyngodon idella (grass carp), 2659 nucleotides. RefSeq lists it as uncharacterized. The record is from RefSeq and is a predicted model, not a curated record. The transcript has 3 exons. NCBI's taxonomy places the organism in Eukaryota, Metazoa, Chordata, Actinopteri, Cypriniformes, Xenocyprididae.